CGCGAUUGUAUGAUAAGCAUAUAAGUGUGGUAGAAAUCGUAUGAAUUUUUCCUUCAUAUCCAAAUGCCAAAUUUGAUCCUCAGAAUAUUGAUGAUGAUGGUGCUCUAAAAAUGGUAGCUGGAUUCCACCAUUUUGGCCAUUUUCCUGUGUCACAUCAAAUACACAAAGAAGCUAAAACAGCGUUAUUAAGAAGUAGCCAUCCAAUAGAAACAUCACCGAGAGGAUGAAAGGCUUGUUAACGCUGUGUUGGGAACAGGAAACAAGGGAUUUAUUAUUGAUACAAUAAUACAGUUUAUCCCAGCUGAAAAAAAUUAAUGAUAGUUUGAAGUAUAAAUAUGUGGUCCCAUCUGGAAAACAAAAGGUUAGUAUACAUUUUUUUGUAAGACCACUAUGUGACAUUGAAAUAAAGUGUAAUAAUUAUUUGCUGGAAUUUUUACUGUGAGGACUUUAUUAGGUUGUCUGUUUAUUGUCUGUUUAGUGGAUUUACAGUGAGGACUUUUUUAGGUUGCUUGUAAAAGUUUAGCCCAUUGUUUGUUUAGUGGAUUUACAGUGAGGACUUUUUUAGGUUUCGUGUAACAGUUUAGCCUAUUGUCUGUUUAGUGGAUUUACAGUGAGGACUUUUUUAGGUUGCUUGUAACAUUUAAGCCUAUUGUCUGUUUAGUGGAUUUACAGUGAGGACUUUUUUAGGUUGCUUGUAACAGUUUAGCCUAUUGUCUGUUUAGUGGAUUUACAGUGAGGACUUUUUUAGGUUGCUUGUAACAGUUUAGCCUAUUGUCUGUUUAGUGGAUUUACAGUGAGGACUUUUUUAGGUUGCUUGUAACAGUUAAGCCUAUUGUAUGUUUAGUGGAGGUUCAGUUGGAUAUUUGUCUUUCCAGGAUAGAAAUGUAAGUAAAUUCAUGCCAGUAUGCAGGGGUGUGUGUCUGAACCCCCUAUUUUUGUGAUGUAAAAAAUUGUCUUUGUUUGGAUAUAAAACCGACUAAUUCCGCAUCAGUGUGUGGGCUUAUGUCUUAAUGGGUCGGUCAAUGUAUAAACUCAGGAGGAACCAAUAAAGAUUUAUGAAAGAAUGAUCUAAACUGCUUAACUUCUGGGAUAUAUAUACGAGCAGAGAGGGUUCAGCAAAACCCUCUAUUUUUGUGAUGAAAAGAAAUUAUGCUUAUUUGGUCAUAGCGCAGUUGCUUAGGGAAAAUAAUUAACGUUUUCUACGAU
Long non-coding RNA from Limulus polyphemus (Atlantic horseshoe crab), 1206 nucleotides. RefSeq lists it as uncharacterized. The record is from RefSeq and is a predicted model, not a curated record. NCBI's taxonomy places the organism in Eukaryota, Metazoa, Arthropoda, Merostomata, Xiphosura, Limulidae. The transcript has 4 exons.